This is a long non-coding RNA of Manis pentadactyla (Chinese pangolin), 1345 nucleotides long. RefSeq lists it as uncharacterized. The record is from RefSeq and is a predicted model, not a curated record. The transcript has 2 exons. NCBI's taxonomy places the organism in Eukaryota, Metazoa, Chordata, Mammalia, Pholidota, Manidae.
AACAUGGGCCCCAGCCAAAGCUGAGUAGGGGAGGGUGCCCGGGCCCUGACUCCCAAUCCCCUGGGGCUAGGAGACGGGUGCGUGUGCCUGCUUCCUCGACCCGGCUCCAGCCUUUCCCCCCUUUCGCAAAUCUGGACAGGAUAUGAUGCAGUUGGUCAUGUGUCAGCUCAGCCAGAGCACUUCAGUUGACUAUGACGUUAACCUUGGCCAGUUAGCUGUAAGUGAUCCCCAUUGGCCUUUGUAAAUUGCUCCCGCCACACUGUAGAUGUGAGACCGAAAGGCAGAGUGACCUGGAGCCAUUCUCUGUAGGGGCCAAAUGGUCACACUGCUGAAAUCAUCUCUUCGCCGCCCAUGGAAUGACCAGUUCCACAGGGAGGGCCCUGAGCUACCAAAGGAAAAUUGAACUGGAAUACUGUGUGUUGUGCCCAAAGUCGCUAAUCCCAGAAGACCACCAAGGAGUCAACACUGAUACAAAAGCAAAGAGCCUUUAUUCGAGCUAGCUCGAGCUCUAUCUCUCAUCUACACCAACGCAGUGGCAAGAUGCCAGAGAAAGAGAGCAGUUUCAAUAUCACAAAGGUUUUAUGGGGUUCUAGGGCAGUUGGUGGGGUGAUGGUCGUGGCUCUGGUCAAUUGGCAGGGUCUAAGGGUGGUGGGUGAGCUCUUUGCUGACUGGAGAGGAGAGAGACCAAGCUCCAAUUGGGUGAAAUAGGAUCCAGGUCCUGAUUGGCUGAGGUAGGAUCUGGGUCCCAAUUGGCUGAAAUAGAAUCUGGGAGCUUGCGUUUUCACUGUGGUUAUGGAUAAAAAUGUUUCUGAUAAAAGGCUAAUUUGCAAGUUUGAGUGAUUACAGGAGCAACCCAAGUUACCUGGAAAAACUAGAUUUCAUUGUUUCCUGCCAGGGCUGAAUUAAUGAGAUACCACUGCAUGAACUCACUCUUUUAUCAAGAUGUCCUUUAUGAUGUAGAAUCUGAAGUUGAUGGACCCAAGGCAUCCAGAGCCAUUCAUCUUGCAAUUAACACAUGUGUCUGUGUUUCUACAAAUCAUGAAUCUUCUUUGACACAGGAUAAGGGGCCGUUGUUUAUCCUGCAUCAUCACCAUAACACACUGGGGGUAAAGUGCAGUAUUUCCAGAAUCUCUCACCUGGCUUUAGUGCAUCUCCAUAUCAACAGGCGUUUCUAAGGGGUGGAGAUAAGUAGUUCAUCUCCAUAUCGAUGGGUAAUUACCUAGGCAAGACCUAGGGCUCAUCUGAAUCUGAGAGGUUGGGGGGAGCAUUCGCUUGCUUCUGCCUUGGCAGGAGAGAGGCAGAUACCUGACAGCUUUUUGUAAGCAAUAAACAGGUUUUAAACUUU